This 424-nucleotide ribosomal RNA is filed under the name uncultured bacterium. Its description in RNAcentral is "bacterial SSU rRNA". It matches the Rfam family "Bacterial small subunit ribosomal RNA", at positions 355 to 795 of the family's 1533-position model. The record is from RNAcentral.
UGAGGAAUUUUCGGCAAUGGGCGCAAGCCUGACCGAGCAACGCCGCGUGCAGGAGGACGGUCUUCGGAUCGUAAACUGCUUUUCUCAGGGACGAGCAAGGACGGUACCUGAGGAACAAGCCCCGGCUAACUACGUGCCAGCAGCCGCGGUAAUACGUAGGGGGCAAGCGUUGUCCGGAGUUACUGGGCGUAAAGCGCACGCAGGCGGUUGGCCGCGUGGGUGGUGACAGUCCUCGGCUUAACUGAGGAAGCGCUGCCCAAACGGGUCAACUUGAGGGCCAGAGAGGGACACGGAACUCCGGGUGGAGCGGUGAAAUGCGUAGAGAUCCGGAAGAACACCGAAGGCGAAGGCAGUGUCCUGGCUGGUUCCUGACGCUCAGGUGCGAAAGCUAGGGGAGCAAACGGGAUUAGAUACCCGGGUAGUC